GGAACGAACGCUGGCGGCAGGCUUAACACAUGCAAGUCGAACGGUUGUAGCAAUACAGCAGUGGCAGACGGGUGAGUAACACGUGGGAACCUUCCUAGGGGUACGGAACAACUCAGGGAAACUUGAGCUAAUACCGUAUACGUCCGUGAGGAGAAAGUUUUAACGCCCCUAGACGGGCCCGCGUAGGAUUAGGUAGUUGGUGAGGUAACGGCUCACCAAGCCUACGAUCCUUAGCUGAUCUGAGAGGAUGAUCAGCCACACUGGGACUGAGACACGGCCCAGACUCCUACGGGAGGCAGCAGUGGGGAAUCUUGGACAAUGGGCGCAAGCCUGAUCCAGCCAUGCCGCGUGAGUGAAGAAGGCCUUCGGGUUGUAAAGCUCUUUUACCAGGGACGAUAAUGACGGUACCUGGAGAAUAAGCCCGGCAAACUUCGUGCCAGCAGCCGC
This 447-nucleotide ribosomal RNA is filed under the name uncultured bacterium. RNAcentral describes it as "SSU rRNA". It matches the Rfam family "Bacterial small subunit ribosomal RNA", at positions 27 to 518 of the family's 1533-position model. The record is from RNAcentral.